GUCUACAGCCAUACCACCCUGAACACGCCCAAUCUCAUCUGAUCACGGAAGCUAAGCAGGGUCCGGCCUGGUUAGUACUUGGAUGGGAGAUAAUGAAAACAAAAAAGUCC
This is a ribosomal RNA of Cavia aperea (Brazilian guinea pig), 110 nucleotides long. Lineage: Eukaryota; Metazoa; Chordata; Mammalia; Rodentia; Caviidae. The record is from Ensembl.